This 451-nucleotide ribosomal RNA is filed under the name uncultured bacterium. RNAcentral's name for it is "partial 16S ribosomal RNA". It matches the Rfam family "Bacterial small subunit ribosomal RNA", at positions 28 to 507 of the family's 1533-position model. The record is from RNAcentral.
GAUGAAUGCUGGCGGCGUGCCUAACACAUGCAAGUCGAGCGGCAGCGAGGGGUGCUUGCACCCUGUCGGCGAGCGGCGAACGGCUGAGUAACGCGUAGGAAUUUGCCCCAAAGUGAGGAAUAACUGCCCGAAAGGGUAGCUAAUGCCGCAUAUGGUCUUCGGAUUAAAGGAUUUAUCCGCUUUGGGAGAAGCCUGCGUUGGAUUAGGUUGUUGGUAGGGUAAUGGCCUACCAAGCCGACGAUCCAUAGCUGGUCUGAGAGGAUGAUCAGCCAGACUGGAACUGAGACACGGUCCAGACUCCUACGGGAGGCAGCAGUGAGGAAUCUUCCACAAUGGGCGAAAGCCUGAGGGAGCAACGCCGCGUGAAGGAUGAAGGCCUUCGGGUUGUAAACUUCUUUUAUGAGUGAAGAAUAUGACGGUAACUCGUGAAUAAGCACCGGCUAACUACGUG